This 433-nucleotide ribosomal RNA is filed under the name uncultured bacterium. RNAcentral describes it as "partial 16S ribosomal RNA". It matches the Rfam family "Bacterial small subunit ribosomal RNA", at positions 29 to 507 of the family's 1533-position model. The record is from RNAcentral.
AACGAACGCUGGCGGCAUGCCUAACACAUGCAAGUCGAACGAGACCUUCGGGUCUAGUGGCGCACGGGUGCGUAACGCGUGGGAACCUGCCCUUAGGUUCGGAAUAACUCCCCGAAAGGGGUGCUAAUACCGGAUAAUGUCUUCGGAUCAAAGAUUUAUCGCCGUUGGAUGGGCCCGCGUUGGAUUAGCUAGUUGGUAGGGUAAAAGCCUACCAAGGCGACGAUCCAUAGCUGGUCUGAGAGGAUGAUCAGCCACACUGGGACUGAGACACGGCCCAGACUCCUACGGGAGGCAGCAGUGGGGAAUAUUGGACAAUGGGCGAAAGCCUGAUCCAGCAAUGCCGCGUGAGUGAUGAAGGCCUUAGGGUUGUAAAGCUCUUUUACCCGGGAUGAUAAUGACAGUACCGGGAGAAUAAGCUCCGGCUAACUCCGUG